This 301-nucleotide ribosomal RNA is filed under the name uncultured bacterium. RNAcentral describes it as "partial 16S ribosomal RNA". It matches the Rfam family "Bacterial small subunit ribosomal RNA", at positions 509 to 807 of the family's 1533-position model. The record is from RNAcentral.
CAGCCGCCGCGGGAAUACGUAGGUGGCAAGCGUUGUCCGGAAUUGUUGGGCGUAAAGGGCUCGCAGGCGGUUUCUUAAGUCUGAUGUGAAAGCCCCCGGCUCAACCGGGGAGGGUCAUUGGAAACUGGGAAACUUGAGUGCAGAAGAGGAGAGUGGAAUUCCACGUGUAGCGGUGAAAUGCGUAGAGAUGUGGAGGAACACCAGUGGCGAAGGCGACUCUCUGGUCUGUAACUGACGCUGAGGAGCGAAAGCGUGGGGAGCGAACAGGAUUAGAUACCCCUGUAGUCCCUGUCUCUUAUAC